Molecule: ribosomal RNA, 428 nt
Filed under: uncultured bacterium
Lineage: Bacteria
Description: bacterial SSU rRNA
Rfam family: Bacterial small subunit ribosomal RNA
Source: RNAcentral
UAGGGAAUCUUCCACAAUGGACGAAAGUCUGAUGGAGCAACGCCGCGUGAGCGAUGAAGGCCUUCGGGUCGUAAAGCUCUGUUGUUAGGGAAGAACAAGUACCGUUCGAAUAGGGCGGUACCAUGACGGUACCUAACCAGAAAGCCACGGCUAACUACGUGCCAGCAGCCGCGGUAAUACGUAGGUGGCAAGCGUUGUCCGGAAUUAUUGGGCGUAAAGCGCGCGCAGGCGGUCCUUUUAGUCUGAUGUGAAAGCCCACGGCUCAACCGUGGAGGGUCAUUGGAAACUGGGGGACUUGAGUGCAGAAGAGAAGAGCGGAAUUCCACGUGUAGCGGUGAAAUGCGUAGAGAUGUGGAGGAACACCAGUGGCGAAGGCGGCUCUUUGGUCUGUAACUGACGCUGAGGCGCGAAAGCGUGGGGAGCAAACA